This is a long non-coding RNA of Mytilus trossulus (common blue mussel), 265 nucleotides long. RefSeq lists it as uncharacterized. The record is from RefSeq and is a predicted model, not a curated record. Lineage: Eukaryota; Metazoa; Mollusca; Bivalvia; Mytilida; Mytilidae. The transcript has 3 exons.
GGCGACGUUACUCGAAGCUUCAACAAAAAAGACGUGAAAAGAUCAAGCACAAUAUUUUUUGUUGAUUUUAACUGUAGUUCAUUGAAUUACAGACCCUGAUGAGGGCAAAUAUGAGCGGAGACAAUAUAGAUCUCAACGUAUUUCAUUAUCGAGAAAAAUCAUUAGGUCCAGAGCUGCCCGAUGGACGUAAGAGAAAUCAAAGCGUUUCUCGUGUUAGACGGUAUCGUAAUCGCAGCUCAACACCAUACCGGCACACUCCUAAAGU